AAUUUAUUGUUUGUUUCAUUUCAUCACCAUCACUUUAGAGUAGAAAUCUAUAAUUGCAUGGAAAUUAGGAAAGGAAAAAUGAAAAAAAAUAAAAUAAAAUAAUUGGGUUCCAACACAAUUAUUAAAUAAUAUAUCAUGGAAUAUUUUAUCAUAAACAAUGUUUCAUAGAUUUUUAUCUAGUGCAAGAAAUCAUUCUUCCCUAUAUGAUAUUUGUGCACUGUCUUAAGUCUUGUACUCCAAGGAACUUUAGGAACAAAUGGAAGCAAACAAUUACAUCGAUGACUAUCGGUACACCGUGGAAUCCGAGGAGGCUUACACUUAACAUCUAUACAUUCAGAAUCAUUAAUACAAUCGACUGUAAUGAAAAAGAAAACACAAAAAUGUUAUUAAUGAAAAAGAAAACACAAAAAUGUUAAAUGUAAAUAAGAACAUUUUAGAUGGAUAAAAAAUGGCUUACCGUCUUCAACACUUGUUGCACAAGAAAUAGGGAAAGAAAACAGAUCAUAACAUAAAUAAACGUCAUAAGUUUAGCCAUAUAUUUCCCUCUUAAUUUGCAUAUAACAAAUAAAAAAUGAUUUGAUUACCUUGUAAUGUAUAAAGGGCAAACUUUGUUGGCACAAUUUAAAUGGUUUUUACCACGCUUAUAAAAUGACUCUUAACUACAUCGAAGUGUUGUCUUUUGUGCCUCUAACACACGGCAUUGCUUAAAAAAAAUUAAAUUAUUAGAAAUAGUUAUUAUUUAACCUUUCAUGAAAAUUAAAAAAAAUAAAAAAUCACCUUAUAUUGUUUAAAGCGCAAACAAAGUUGGCA
This 810-nucleotide long non-coding RNA is filed under the name Trifolium pratense (red clover). Its description in RNAcentral is "long non-coding RNA (TPRA_LNC000560)". The record is from RNAcentral. Lineage: Eukaryota; Viridiplantae; Streptophyta; Magnoliopsida; Fabales; Fabaceae.